GUCAGUUCAGCAUUUCGCUAUUCCAAAUACGAUUCAGUGUAGAGGUUUUUGAUGUCACUGUUCAAAAAUAACUAGUAUGACUACUAAAGUGAUUUGCGUGUGGGCAUACUUAAUCAUCGUUUAUAAGAGAUAGGAGGUUUAUUAAAACAUUUGAUGUCUGUGGAACGUUAUGAUUCCACACAUAAACUACCUAGUUGAAGAACAGUCUGUAUAUUAUCAUGAAAGUGUUUAUAUAGAAUUUUGGAUGUUGUUAUGUAUGCUAUCAGUGAUGGAUCAAUAUUUCCUGUAGACUAAUGAAAGAGCAUAGUAUUUUAUUGCUAAUAUAUUUCUCGAUACAUGGAGUAGUUGAAUCACAUUGUUUAAUGUAUUUGAUUGACGGAGAAACAAAGAAAUCUGAAGAAUUUGUUUAUACUAUUGAAGUGUACAACCCAACAUCAACACCUGAUCCAUGGAAAUAUUGUCAACAAGUUACAUUGACGUCUGUGUGUUUAGUUGAAUAGUUGUUAAUAGGCCACCACAUUUUAUAUCUCAUUAGCAUUAAUUAUAGUCUUAUUAUUGGUUGUAACACAGAUGAUUAA
This is a long non-coding RNA of Metopolophium dirhodum (rose-grain aphid), 578 nucleotides long. RefSeq lists it as uncharacterized. The transcript has 3 exons. The record is from RefSeq and is a predicted model, not a curated record. NCBI's taxonomy places the organism in Eukaryota, Metazoa, Arthropoda, Insecta, Hemiptera, Aphididae.